RNAcentral lists this ribosomal RNA (440 nucleotides) under uncultured bacterium. RNAcentral describes it as "partial 16S ribosomal RNA". It matches the Rfam family "Bacterial small subunit ribosomal RNA", at positions 338 to 795 of the family's 1533-position model. The record is from RNAcentral.
CCUACGGGUGGCAGCAGUGGGGAAUAUUGCACAAUGGGGGCAACUCUGAUGCAGCGACGUCGCGUGCGUGAAGAAGUCCUUCGGUAUGUAAAGCUCUAUCAGCAGGGAAGAAAACGACGUUACCUGACUAAGAUGCCCCGUCCAACUACGUGCCAGCAGCCGUGGUAAUACGUAGGGAGCAAGGGUUAUCCGGAUUUACGGGGUGUAAAGGGAGCGUAGACGGCAGAGCAAGACUGAAGUGAAAGCCCGCGGCCCAACUGCGGGACUGCAUUGGAAACUGGCCGGCUAGAGUGCUGGCGAGGUAAGCGGAAUUCCUGGUGUAGCGGUGAAAUGCGUAGAUAUUAGGAGGAACACCAGUGGCGAAGGCAGCUUACUGUACAGUAACUGACGUUGAGGCUCGAAGGCGUGGGGAGCAAACAGGAUUAGAUACCCGGGUAGUC